GAUGAACGCUGGCGGCGUGCCUAAUACAUGCAAGUCGAGCGAACAGACGAGGAGCUUGCUCCUCUGUCGUUAGCGGCGGACGGGUGAGUAACACGUGGAUAACCUACCUAUAAGUCUGGGAUAACUUCGGGAAACCGGAGCUAAUACCGGAUAAUAUAUUGAACCGCAUGGUUGAAUAGUGAAAGACGGUUUUGCUGUCACUUAUAGAUGGAUCCGCGCCGCAUUAGCUAGUUGGUAAGGUAACGGCUUACCAAGGCAACGAUGCGUAGCCGACCUGAGAGGGUGGUCGGCCACACUGGAACUGAGACACGGUCCAGACUCCUACGGGAGGCAGCAGUAGGGAAUCUUACGCAAUGGGGGAAAGCAUGACGGAGCAACGCCGCGUGAGUGAUGAAGGUCUUCGGAUCGUAAAGCUCUGUUAUUAGGGAAGAACAAAUGUGUAAGUAACUAUGCACGUCUUGACGGUACCUAAUCAGAAAGCCACGGCUAACUACGUG
This 497-nucleotide ribosomal RNA is filed under the name uncultured bacterium. Its description in RNAcentral is "partial 16S ribosomal RNA". It matches the Rfam family "Bacterial small subunit ribosomal RNA", at positions 28 to 507 of the family's 1533-position model. The record is from RNAcentral.